Molecule: ribosomal RNA, 374 nt
Filed under: uncultured bacterium
Lineage: Bacteria
Description: bacterial SSU rRNA
Rfam family: Bacterial small subunit ribosomal RNA
Source: RNAcentral
AUACGUAGGACCCAAGCGUUAUCCGGAUUCACUGGGUGUAAAGGGUGUGUAGGCGGGCGUGCGCGUCCGGGGUGAAAGGUUCCGGCUCAACCGGAAACAUGCCUUGGAUACGGCACGUCUUGAGUGCGGGAGAGGACGGUGGAAUUCCUGGUGUAGCGGUGAAAUGCGUAGAUAUCAGGAGGAACACCAGUGGCGAAGGCGGCCGUCUGGCCCGCAACUGACGCCGAAACACGAAAGCGUGGGGAUCAAACAGGAUUAGAUACCCUGGUAGUCCACGCCCUAAACGAUGCAUGCUUGGUGUCGGCGCCUUGUGCGUCGGUGCCGUAGGUAACCCAGUAAGCAUGCCACCUGGGAAGUACGGUCGCAAGGCUGAA